AAGUCGUAACAAGGUUUCCGUAGGUGAACCUGCGGAAGGAUCAUUAUUGAGUUUUUGAAGCAAGAGUUGUUGCUGGCUUAUGCAGGUGCACACUUUUGUUUUCAUCUCACUAUUCACCACUUGUGCACUCAUUGUAGACUCAAUCGAGGAUUAGUAGUGAUACUCUUAUCAUUAUUGAGAAAUCCUUUGGUCUAUGUUCAUUUAUACACUUUUGAAUGUCUCUGAAUGUCUAUGCAUGUGAUGUGUUUAUUGCAUCAUUUAUAUACAACUUUCAACAACGGAUCUCUUGGCUCUCCCAUCGAUGAAGAACGCAGCGAAAUGCGAUAAGUAAUGUGAAUUGCAGAAUUCAGUGAAUCAUCGAAUCUUUGAACGCACCUUGCGCCCUUUGGUAUUCCGAAGGGCAUGCCUGUUUGAGUGUCAUUGUAUCAUCAACCCUUUCAAAUUUUGAAUGAGUUGGACUUUGGAGGUUGCUGGAACUCUCUGAGAGAGGGGUCAGCUCUUCUUAAAUACAUUAGCAAGAUAGUGCUCUUAUGUGGAACCUGCUCUGGUGUGAUAAUUAUCUACGCCGUGGCUUGGGUGAAACGCUGCAACCAUUCAUUGUUGCCUCAAUAAUGAUAGGGGAGACUGCUGUUUAUAGAAUGGCUUCUUCUGCGCAACGAGAGUCCCUUUGCUUCUAAUGGUCUCUUGAAUGAGACAGUAAAAAUAAAAUGAAUGGAAAAAUGACUUUCACUUAGUCAUU
This 739-nucleotide ribosomal RNA is filed under the name Lichenomphalia alpina. RNAcentral's name for it is "eukaryotic LSU rRNA". The stretch from base 267 to 420 matches the Rfam family "5.8S ribosomal RNA". Lineage: Eukaryota; Fungi; Basidiomycota; Agaricomycetes; Agaricales; Hygrophoraceae. The record is from RNAcentral.